This is a non-coding RNA of Equus caballus (horse), 2142 nucleotides long. The record is from RefSeq and is a predicted model, not a curated record. NCBI's taxonomy places the organism in Eukaryota, Metazoa, Chordata, Mammalia, Perissodactyla, Equidae.
AAAAUAGGUGUAGAUGAGCUUCUGCAGGACCUCGAUUGCCAGGAUAUCGAAUUUUGACUUUAUCCUGAAGAUCAUCAGGAGUCCUUGACAGGAGAUAGAGUAGAAAUUUAAAAGCAGCCUCUAAAUUUCAGAAACGGAACCCAUUGAUAAGAGUCCAUUUUAAAGAGGAAUCUUCAGGUUUGGGGCAUGAGGUCAUGCCUGUCACACAAUUUCUACCACUCUCCAGAGUAAUCAUGGGUGAUUUGGCACCUCCGGCUAAUAGGUGUGUCAUAUCAGAGACUGCCACAGACACCCGGGGCAAUGAGAUUCGUCACUUAAAGAAGGAGGCUGCGGGAGAGCGCCCCAUCCACCGCUGCUGAGUCAUCCCACUCUGUUAGCUAUUUAAACAAGCCUCCAGCAGACACACAAUCAACACUGCACUCCGACAAUGUCCAGACCUCCAGAAAUCAUGGGUCCAGCCUGGAUUGCCCAAGACAAGUACAAUCUUCAAAACAGUAUCUCUCCUCUUUUCCCCAUAUUGUCACACUAGGGGUUCUGACCUCUGGCUCUUUUACUAGAAAUGAGACUAUCCAGCCAGUCCUCCUAUGGGACCUUGGCCCCAGAGGUCACCAAUUCCUGUUUCAAGUUUUCCCACGGUCUUUCUGACUUGACUCUUGUAUUUCUUUCAUGCCAGCAAACAGUGGUGGAGCACCUGUUGUGGGUUCGGCACUGAGCUACAGGUAAGAGUUGGUUAAAGGAUAAACAAGACACAUUCCUUGCCUUUGGCGGCUCACAGUCCAGUGGAAGAGACAGUCACGUAACCAGGCAACCACAAUAUACGAAGUGAUGGUUCUAAGACAGGUGCUGCUGAUGAAAGUGCUACAGGAGUUGGUCUGACGUCUUUGGGAAGGACAAGACAGCAUGCCCACGGAGUUACCAUGUCCCAGUGCUGUUCUUUCCUCCUGAUGGAAAGCCUGAAACAAUUUACAGCAUUGCCAGCAGCAUUCAGUACAUUCAGAACAGGAUCAUUUCACCCACAGCUGAACGAGGGCCACGCUUGGGACAGCACCGAGAACAGCUUUCCAGCAGACACGCCGGGGAGUAAGCCAGGGUCAGUGAGUGAAACGGAGAGCAGGGCCAUUUAAAGCAACACGGUUUAUGUAACCGUGAUCUAAUUGCUUCCACUGGAAAUGGGUCAGAUUCUAGUCAAGAGAACCAAGGGCCUUAAUGACCCCAGUGAAAUUAGACUAUGGCUUUACUUCCAACCUCCUCGGAGAACACGGCCCUCUGAUGAAACGUUGCUUUGAUUCAUUUCAAUCUGCCAUGUUUCCCACUCCCUUCUUGCUUUGUCAUUGUUGAUUUGCUAUUUUUCCUUUCUUUUUUGGUUAAACACGUUAAAGUAAACAGGAUAUAUCAUAUGACAGACUACGAUAAAUUUACUAUUGGGAAUAGGGGACAAGUAUGGGAUAAAGACAUAGGUCUUUUUCGCCUCUCGCAGCUGUGAUUCAGUUGUGACUCAAAAGGAAGUGUGCCACCUACUGAAUCAUGGAAACCACUUCCUGUAGCUCUUUGGUUUAUUCUGGAGGGGCAUCAGGCCAAGUACUGCCCUGCCCUGACCCUGACUGGCUCUUCCGAGCCAAGGCGUUCACAGCUUGAGGUGGUUUGGCUUCGGACUCUGAGAACAUUACAUAUUAAAUUACAAGUGUUUCGUUUCCUAGCAAGGAGUCUUUAGCAACAUGAAAACGAACAUGUGUUAUUUGCAAACCGAGUGUAUCAUUACUCAACCUGAAUAUCUUUACUUUUUCAUAGGGUAUGUAUUCCGAAUGACCACUCUCAAGAUCUGAGUGCACACAGGUUCUGUUUUUCCUGAGGGCAACGUGGGCAGUCUGUAGGGUGGCAUUAACCAGAUGAGGCUUCAAGAGCACCCUUUCAUCAGGGACGCAACAGUAGACUUGUAUUCAUUCAUUCGACAUAUUUUUGGAGCAUGUGCUUAUUGCCAUGUACUGUGCUGGGUAGGUGCGGAGCAUCCAAUGACAAACAAGACUGUACGGCUCCUUACUCCACGGGGCUGGUGUUCUCCACUGUACGGAAAUUCUGCUCUCCCCUCUCGAGGCACAGGUUGUGCUUUGUACACCAUUAAAAGGAACAUCAACUAAAGGAAAA